This 497-nucleotide ribosomal RNA is filed under the name uncultured bacterium. Its description in RNAcentral is "partial 16S ribosomal RNA". It matches the Rfam family "Bacterial small subunit ribosomal RNA", at positions 28 to 507 of the family's 1533-position model. The record is from RNAcentral.
GAUGAACGCUGGCGGCGUGCCUAAUACAUGCAAGUCGAGCGAACAGAUGAGGAGCUUGCUCCUCUGACGUUAGCGGCGGACGGGUGAGUAACACGUGGAUAACCUACCUAUAAGACUUGGAUAACUUCGGGAAACCGGAGCUACUACCGGAUAAUAUAUUGAACCGCAUGGUUCAAUAGUUCAAGACGGUUUUGCUGUCACUUAUAGAUGGAUCCGCGCCGCAUUAGCUAGUUGGUAAGGUAACGGCUUACCAAGGCAACGAUGCGUAGCCGACCUGAGAGGGUGAUCAGCCACACUGGAACUGAGACACGGUCCAGACUCCUACGGGAGGCAGCAGUAGGGAAUCUUCCGCAAUGGGCGAAAGCCUGACGGAGCAACGCCGCGUGAGUGAUGAAGGUCUUCGGAUCGUAAAACUCUGUUAUUAGGGAAGAACAAAUGUGGAAGUAACUAUGCACGUCUUGACGGUACCUAAUCAGAAAGCCACGGCUAACUACGUG